GACGUAGGGCGCGAGCGUUGUCCGGAUUUAUUGGGCGUAAAGAGCUCGUAGGCGGUCUGUCGCGUCGGCUGUGAAACCCCGAGGCUCAACCUCGGGCCUGCAGUCGAUACGGGCAGACUAGAGUAUGGCAGGGGAGACUGGAAUUCCUGGUGUAGCGGUGAAAUGCGCAGAUAUCAGGAGGAACACCGGUGGCGAAGGCGGGUCUCUGGGCCAUAACUGACGCUGAGGAGCGAAAGCAUGGGGAGCGAACAGG
Molecule: ribosomal RNA, 253 nt
Filed under: uncultured bacterium
Lineage: Bacteria
Description: partial 16S ribosomal RNA
Rfam family: Bacterial small subunit ribosomal RNA
Source: RNAcentral